AUUGAACGCUGGCGGCAGGCCUAACACAUGCAAGUCGAACGAGUGGCGGACGGGUGAGUAAUGUCUGGGAAACUUCCUUAUGGAGGGGGUUAACUACUGGAAACGGUAGCUAAUACCGCAUACCAUCAGAUGUGCCCAGAUGGGAUUGGCUAUUUGGUUGGGUAACGACGCACCAGGGCGACGAACCCUAGCUGGUCUGAGAGGAUGACCGGCCACACUGGAACGGAGACACGGUCCAGACUCCUACGGGAGGCAGCAGUGGUGAAUAUUGCACAGUGGGCGCAAGCCUGAUGCAGCCAUGCAGCGUGUAUGAAGAAGGCCUGCGGGUUGUAAAGUACUUUCAGCGGGGAGGCGUUACCCGCAGAAGAAGCACCGGCUAACUCCGUGCCAGUAGCCGCGGUAAUAC
RNAcentral lists this ribosomal RNA (406 nucleotides) under uncultured bacterium. Its description in RNAcentral is "partial 16S ribosomal RNA". It matches the Rfam family "Bacterial small subunit ribosomal RNA", at positions 30 to 526 of the family's 1533-position model. The record is from RNAcentral.